Molecule: ribosomal RNA, 465 nt
Filed under: uncultured bacterium
Lineage: Bacteria
Description: partial 16S ribosomal RNA
Rfam family: Bacterial small subunit ribosomal RNA
Source: RNAcentral
GACGAACGCUGGCGGCGUGCUUAACACAUGCAAGUCGAACGGAAAGGCCCUGCUUUUGUGGGGUGCUCGAGUGGCGAACGGGUGAGUAACACGUGAGUAACCUGCCCUUGACUUUGGGAUAACUUCAGGAAACUGGGGCUAAUACCGGAUAGGAGCUCCUGCUGCAUGGUGGGGGUUGGAAAGUUUCGGCGGUUGGGGAUGGACUCGCGGCUUAUCAGCUUGUUGGUGGGGUAGUGGCUUACCGAGGCUUUGACGGGUAGCCGGCCUGAGAGGGUGACCGGCCACAUUGGGACUGAGAUACGGCCCAGACUCCUACGGGAGGCAGCAGUGGGGAAUAUUGCACAAUGGGCGGAAGCCUGAUGCAGCAACGCCGCGUGCGGGAUGACGGCCUUCGGGUUGUAAACCGCUUUCGCCUGUGACGAAGCGUGAGUGACGGUAAUGGGUAAAGAAGCACCGGCUAACUAC